Molecule: ribosomal RNA, 450 nt
Filed under: uncultured Glomeromycotina
Lineage: Eukaryota; Fungi; Glomeromycota
Description: SSU rRNA
Rfam family: Eukaryotic small subunit ribosomal RNA
Source: RNAcentral
AGCAGCCGCGGUAAUUCCAGCUCCAAUAGCGUAUAUUAAAGUUGUUGCAGUUAAAAAGCUCGUAGUUGAACUUCGGGAUCAAUGAAUCGGUCAUGCUUUCGUAUGUACUGGUUUUAUUGGUUCUCACCUUCUAAGGAACCAUAAUGUCAUUCAUUUGAUGUUAUGGGGAAUUAGGACUGUUACCUUGAAAAAAUUAGAGUGUUUAAAGCAGGCUAACGCUUGAAUACAUUAGCAUGGAAUAAUGAAAUAGGACAUCGCAUUCUAUUUUGUUGGUUUCUAGGAUCGAUGUAAUGAUUAAUAGGGAUAGUUGGGGGCAUUAGUAUUCAAUUGUCAGAGGUGAAAUUCUUGGAUUUAUUGAAAGACUAACUACUGCGAAAGCAUUUGCCAAGGAUAUUUUCAUUAAUCAAGAACGAAAGUUAGGGGAUCGAAGACGAUCAGAUACCGUCGUAG